This 83-nucleotide non-coding RNA is filed under the name bovine gut metagenome. RNAcentral describes it as "S10-Clostridia ribosomal protein leader". It matches the Rfam family "S10-Clostridia ribosomal protein leader". The record is from RNAcentral.
UGAUAGCUAUGAAGCGUGAGGUUGCUGCGGGAUAUCCGCAGGUUUUCCGUGGAGCGAAUGUCAAGUUAGAAAACUGGCGGCAA